RNAcentral lists this long non-coding RNA (3128 nucleotides) under Mytilus galloprovincialis (Mediterranean mussel). The record is from RNAcentral. Lineage: Eukaryota; Metazoa; Mollusca; Bivalvia; Mytilida; Mytilidae.
UAGAGGCCUCAGAUCACAAUUAAUUCCCUUUGUUCGUGGUCUAGGAAUAUAGUUCCCAAUUAUUAUAUAGGGUAUUUCUUCCCAAGUAAUCUGUCUACUGUUUUCUUUGAAAUGUUUACUAUUUAAGUGGUCCUAUCAGUUGCAUAUAUAUUGAAAUAAGUAAAACAUGUAGAAAAAAAAUAUUGUUGAAAGUGAAAGUAGUGAUUUGGCCAAACUGAAAGUAGGGUAGAAAUUAGCCUUCGUCAUUUAUUCAAGAUUCAAAUCCUACCAUUGGCAUGCUAAUAGGGCCCUCAAAAGAAAAAGCACUGAUGGAUUGUCCUGGGACAAGCAUAUUUUAUUAGAUUAAUAAUGGUCUAUAAGCAGUUAAAUUUAUUUCAUGUUUGUAGCGGUGCAAAUUUUUUAAUUCAAUUUGACUUUAACUAAAAAAUGCAUUGUAGCCAAGGGGAAGAAUAAUUGUGUUCUGAGGCCUAGGAGAUGAGUUUGGACAAAACACAAUUAUUGUAAAUAAAGGGUCUAACAGGUAACAACAUGAUCUUUGUCUGAUUACUUUUCAAGAAAGAAAACAGAAAUUACACAAAGUCUAUCAAAAUAAGACAUUUUCACCAUAUUUGGGCAUAUGAGGCAGAUAUUGGCAUUUUUUACAGUUGACAUGAUUUCUAAUGAAAAUUAAAGGAAUACAAUUGUGAGAAUGUACCACAUUACUUCAUUAAAUCAAUGAGGGUACCUUAUAAAUGCAAUUUAAUAAGGUUUUACAAAACUGAGUUGAUCCUGGGACAUAACAUGACAUACAAAGACAUUUAAAAAUAAUGAAAAAAAAAUGUUUUAAAAAAUUUAAAAGUGUCAAGUCUAAAUUACUUUUAGUUGUUUAGAAGUAAAUAACCAAUAGGUGGGAUAGAAUGAAGGGAAAAAAAUCAAUUUUUCAGUGUCUAUUCAUCCACAAUUAUGCUUUUUAUGUCUGUACCUUUAUCAUACUGACCAAUUCUGAUUUAAUAAACAUAGAGAUAUAGAUAUGAAAAAUAAUGGCACAUAAUUGGCAGUUUGCUUUAGCAGUUGUCUCAUUUCAACUAAAUACAAGUUAUGUUAACUGGAUCAAGGCUUAUUUUGGGAAAACAAUACCAAAAAAAUAUUUUCUGAAUAAAAGUUUGACUGAAUUCUUAAAACUUUGCAAAUAGCAUGUUCCGCAGACAUAUCUACUAUAAUAAAAACAUUCCAAACUUUUUUGUUAUUUGUCAGAAUGUAAUAAAAUUUGAUAUUUAUACUACUAAGAUAUAAUGCUAAGUAACUGUGAAGUUUCAUAUGGAUACUUUAAUUUUUUGAGGUCUAGGAGAUGAGUUUGGACAAAACACAAUUAUUGUGAAUAAAGGGUCUAACAGGUAACAACAUGAUCUUUGUCUGAUUACUUUUCAAGAAAGAAAACAGAAAUUGCACAAAGUCUAUCAAAAUAAGACAUUUUUACCAUAUUUGGGCAUAUGAGGCAGAUAUUGGCAUUAUUUAAAGUUUACAUGAUUUCUAAUGAAAAUUAAAGGAAUAAAAUUGUGAGAAUGUACCACAUUACUUCAUUAAAUCAUAAGGGUACCUUAUAAAUGCAAUUUAAUAAGGUUUUACAAAACUGAGUUGAUCCUGGGACAUAACAUGACAUACAAAGACAUUUAAAAAUAAUGAAAAAUAAAAUGUUUUAAAAAAUUUAAAAGUGUCAAGUCUAAAUUACUUUUAGUUGUUUAGAAGUAAAUAACCAAUAGGUGGGAUAGAUUGAAGGGAAUAGAUCAAUUUUUAGUGUUUAUUCAUCCACAAUUAUGCUUUUUAUGUCUGUACCUUUAUCUUACUGACCAAUUCUGAUUUAAUACACAUAGAGAUAUAGAUAUGAAAAAUAAUGGCAUAUAAGUGGCAGUUUGCUUUAGCAGUUGUCUCAUUUCAACUAAAUACAAGUUAUGUUAACUGGAUCAAGGCUUAUUUUGGGAAAACAAUACCAAAAAAAUAUUUUCUGAAUAAAAUUUUUAUUGAAUUCUUAAAACUUUGCAAAUAGCAUGUUCCGCAGACAUAUAUACUAAUAUAAAAACAUUCCAAACUUUUUUAAUAUUUGUUAGAAUGUUAUAAAAUUUGGCAUUUAUACUACUAAGAUAUAAUGCUAAGUAACUGUAAAGUUUCAUAGGGAUACUUUAAUUUUUUGAGGUUGUAGGAGAUGAGUUAUGGACAAAACACAAUUAUUGUAAAUAAAGGGUCUAACAGGUAACAACAUGAUCUUUGUCUGAUUACUUUUCAAGAAAGAAAACAGAAAUUACACAAAGUCUAUCAAAAUAAGACAUUUUUACCAUAUUUGGGCAUAUGAGGCAGAUAUUGGCAUUUUUUUAACAGUUUACAUGAUUUCUAAUGAAAAUUAAAGGAAUAAAAUUGUGAGAAUGUACCACAUUACUUCAUUAAAUCAUGAGGGUACCUUAUAAAUGCAAUUUAAUAAGGUUUUACAAAACUGAGUUGAUCCUGGGACAUAACAUGACAUACAAAGACAUUUAAAAAUAAUGAAAAUAAAAUGUUUUAAAAAAAUUUAAAAGAGUCAAGUCUAAAUUACUUUUAGUUGUUUAGAAGUAAAUAACCAAUAGGUGGGAUAGAAUGAAGGGAAUAAAUCAAUUUUUCAGUGUCUAUUCAUCCACAAUUAUGCUUUUUAUGUCUGUACCUUUAUCAUACUGACCAAUUCUGAUUUAAUAAACAUAGAGAUAUAGAUAUGAAAAAUAAUGGCAUAUAAGUGGCAGUUUGCUUUAGCAGUUGUCUCAUUUCAACUAAAUACAAGUUAUGUUAACUGGAUCAAGGCUUAUUUUGGGAAAACAAUACCAAAAAAAUAUUUUCUGAAUAAAAUUUUGACUGAAUUCUUAAAACUUUGCAAAUAGCAUGUUCCGCAGACAUAUAUACUAAUAUAAAAACAUUCCAAACUUUUUUAUUAUUUGUCAGAAUGUAAUAAAAUUUGGCAUUUAUACUACUAAGAUAUAAUGCUAAGUAACUGUAAAGUUUCAUAUGGAUACUUUAAUUUUUUGAGGUCUAAUAGGCCUCAGAUCACAAUUAAUUCCCUUUGUUCGUGGUCUAGGAAUAUAGUUCCCAAUUAUUAUAUAGGGUAUUUCUUCCCAAGUAAUCUGUCUACU